Molecule: ribosomal RNA, 448 nt
Filed under: uncultured bacterium
Lineage: Bacteria
Description: bacterial SSU rRNA
Rfam family: Bacterial small subunit ribosomal RNA
Source: RNAcentral
UGCCAGACUCCUACGGGAGGCAGCAGUGGGGAAUAUUGCACAAUGGGGGGAACCCUGAUGCAGCGACGCCGCGUGAAGGAUGAAGUAUUUCGGUACGUAAACUUCUAUCAGCAGGGAAGAAAAUGACGGUACCUGACUAAGAAGCCCCGGCUAACUACGUGCCAGCAGCCGCGGUAAUACGUAGGGGGCAAGCGUUAUCCGGAUUUACUGGGUGUAAAGGGAGCGUAGACGGCGAAGCAAGUCUGAAGUGAAAACCCAGGGCUCAACCCUGGGACUGCUUUGGAAACUGUUUUGCUAGAGUGUCGGAGAGGUAAGUGGAAUUCCUAGUGUAGCGGUGAAAUGCGUAGAUAUUAGGAGGAACACCAGUGGCGAAGGCGGCUUACUGGACGAUAACUGACGUUGAGGCUCGAAAGCGUGGGGAGCAAACAGGAUUAGAUACCCGAGUAAC